UAGGGAAUCUUCCGCAAUGGGCGAAAGCCUGACGGAGCAACGCCGCGUGAGUGAUGAAGGUCUUCGGAUCGUAAAACUCUGUUAUUAGGGAAGAACAAAUGUGUAAGUAACUAUGCACGUCUUGACGGUACCUAAUCAGAAAGCCACGGCUAACUACGUGCCAGCAGCCGCGGUAAUACGUAGGUGGCAAGCGUUAUCCGGAAUUAUUGGGCGUAAAGCGCGCGUAGGCGGUUUUUUAAGUCUGAUGUGAAAGCCCACGGCUCAACCGUGGAGGGUCAUUGGAAACUGGAAAGCUUGAGUGCAGAAGAGGAAAGGGGAAUUCCAUGUGUAGCGGUGAAAUGCGCAGAGAUAUGGAGGAACACCAGUGGCGAAGGCGACUUUCUGGUCUGUAACUGACGCUGAUGUGCGAAAGCGUGGGGAUCAAACAGG
This 429-nucleotide ribosomal RNA is filed under the name Actinomycetes bacterium. Its description in RNAcentral is "Actinobacteria bacterium partial 16S ribosomal RNA". It matches the Rfam family "Bacterial small subunit ribosomal RNA", at positions 355 to 776 of the family's 1533-position model. Lineage: Bacteria; Bacillati; Actinomycetota; Actinomycetes. The record is from RNAcentral.